CCUACGGGAGGCAGCAGUGGGGAAUCUUGCGCAAUGGGCGGAAGCCUGACGCAGCAACGCCACGUGGGGGAUGACGGCCUUCGGGUUGUAAACCUCUUUCGGUCUUGACGAAGGCAUCCCGUUUCGGGGUGUUGACGGUAGGGACAGAAGAAGCACCGGCUAACUACGUGCCAGCAGCCGCGGUAAUACGUAGGGUGCGAGCGUUGUCCGGAGUUACUGGGCGUAAAGAGCUCGUAGGCGGUUUGUCGCGUCGGCCGUGAAAUCCUGCUGCUCAACGGCAGGCUUGCGGUCGAUACGGGCAGACUAGAGUUCGGUAGGGGAGACCGGAAUUCCUGGUGUAGCGGUGAAAUGCGCAGAUAUCAGGAGGAACACCGGUGGCGAAGGCGGGUCUCUGGGCCGAUACUGACGCUGAGGAGCGAAAGCGUGGGGAGCGAACAGGAUUAGAUACCCUGGUAGUCCACGCUGUAAACUUUGGGCGCUAGGUGUGGGGACCGGUUCAGGUUUCCGUGCCGUAGCUAACGCAUUAAGCGCCCCGCCUGGGGAGUACGGCCGCAAGGCUAAAACUCAAAGGAAUUGACGGGGGCCCGCACAAGCGGCGGAGCAUGUGGAUUAAUUCGAUGCAACGCGAAGAACCUUAC
Molecule: ribosomal RNA, 638 nt
Filed under: uncultured Pseudonocardiaceae bacterium
Lineage: Bacteria; Bacillati; Actinomycetota; Actinomycetes; Pseudonocardiales; Pseudonocardiaceae
Description: bacterial SSU rRNA
Rfam family: Bacterial small subunit ribosomal RNA
Source: RNAcentral